Molecule: ribosomal RNA, 253 nt
Filed under: uncultured bacterium
Lineage: Bacteria
Description: partial 16S ribosomal RNA
Rfam family: Bacterial small subunit ribosomal RNA
Source: RNAcentral
UACGAAGGGGGCUAGCGUUGUUCGGAAUUACUGGGCUUAAAGGGCGCGUAGGCGGCUUGCCAAGUCAGGGGUGAAAUCCUGCAGCUUAACUGUAGAAGGGCCUUUGAUACUGGCGAGCUCGAGGGAGGUAGGGGUAUGUGGAACUUCCGGUGGAGCGGUGAAAUGCGUAGAUAUCGAGAGGAACACCUGCGGCGAAGGCGGGUUGCUGGGCUGACACUGACGCUGAAGCGCGAAAGCUAGGGGAGCGAACGGG